Molecule: long non-coding RNA, 771 nt
Organism: Terrapene triunguis (Three-toed box turtle)
Lineage: Eukaryota; Metazoa; Chordata; Testudines; Emydidae
Exons: 3
Source: RefSeq, a predicted model, not a curated record
GCUCAGAAGGGAGGCUGGGAGCUGUGGAAUAUGAGCUGUAUAUUAUAGGUGCCCAGCUCUCUGGUCCUUGUCCCAUUCUGGAUGGGCAGACCUCUUUUGGCCUUAUCCUUGUUCUCGUUCUCCUGCUUGUGGCCUCCAUCCUGGCUUUGAUCCUGCAGAACCGUAGGAUAUUCUCCCCAGCCUUCCCGGCACUGGAGCGGGCGGUUACCACACCCACACCAGGGAAUGCAGGAAAGGAUGAAGGCCAGGAAGGGAAAAGCCUGCAAACAGAGUGCUGAUGGAAGAGAAGGCACAAAGGUCAAUCAGAAUGGCAAGCACUUUGAUGGGAAAACAAGAUUCUGCUACACAGCUGGGGGAUGGGAACCAUUCAGACUUGUCCAGAGGGCAUGGAGGUCACAUGGACACAGCUUGGGGACCAUGCCACUGCUGAGGGAGUGGGAGUCAUAUGACAAAGGAGAUAGGAGUCACCUGGGUGCAGGAAGGUUGGGAUGAGGGGUUGUACAGGUUUCUGAGCUUCCUUUUUGGAGAUGAAGGACUCCAGUGUUCAUAACCUGUUUCACUUCCACUUGUUUCUCUCACACCCUUUGUCUCCUUUGGCCUUUCUCCUUCCUUUGAGGGGUGUCAGUGGCCUUUAACAGAUGGGGAGAUUGGCAGAGACCUGGCUCCCCUUUGCCCACAGGGCAUUUAACUUCCCACUGCCAACUUCCCUCUCUGUGUAUCCCAUAAGCACCCUGCUCCGGCACUUAUUCGCUGGCACAGCGGAUCCUGCAG